Non-coding RNA from Cricetulus griseus (Chinese hamster), 1159 nucleotides. Lineage: Eukaryota; Metazoa; Chordata; Mammalia; Rodentia; Cricetidae. The record is from RefSeq and is a predicted model, not a curated record.
CUGCUGCUUCCGAGCUGGGUCAAAGAACGGCCCGAACAAAUGGGGAAAGACUGAGAAGGCCCGUGAAAUUACCCUGGAGAAACAGACCACCACCUAUUUCUUGACUGCUACUGUAGAGACCAUCUCUCCAACUCCCAAAUCGAGCCACGUGAGGGAAGGUCUGGCUAGUGGGAGCUAUUGAUAAUCUCAGACGGCGACCUGAAGACUGAUUUUACUCCUUGCAUUCAACCUGCUUCGAGGCUGUGCCAGGACAGCUUUAUUUGCAGACCAGAAUUUCAGCUUUGGUCCUUUUCUUCCCACCUCUUGAAAGACAAAAAGUGAAAUGGCCAAAGGCAGAUUCCAAGAAAAAGAAAGGUCUUGAGUUUUGUGUUAACCCAAGACCUUGCCCCCAAGAAAAUCAAAAUUAAUGUCAAAUUCCUCUUUCCAAAACUCCAUCCAUUUUUGCCAUUCUCUAGAUAAUUUUAGGUAAUAUUUUUAUGGUGUGUGUGUGUGUGUGUGUGUGUGUGUGUGUGUGUCCGCGUGCGCGUUCGCACGCACAUGCGCACGCGUGUUUUCAUAGACAUUAAUUCAAUAGUCCUUUUAUUAAAUUAGAUUUUUGGGUUCGGGCUGGAUUGGGUUUAAAGUCUUAUAUUGCAAUCCAGGCUGGCCUUAGAUUCACAACAGUCCUUUACUUCUGCUUCCUAAGGGCUGGGAUAGUAGGUGCGUCCUGCCGUGCCCACCCACCCUUCCUGAAAGUUCCUGAGAUGAAAAGAUAACAAAAAGUAACAUUAUGUGCAACUAUGUUAAAUAGUAAAUACCAUGGUAGCAAAAAUAAUUGACCAGUGCCCUUAACAAUUAGGAAAGAUGGAUAUCCAGGAUGUAUGAUGGCCCGUCAUCCUAGAAGGAAUCUAUGAAGGACAACCAAUCAAAAGAGCCCUGUUAAAGUCAAGGGUUUAGAAGGCACACCUUGCAUGGAAACCUGCCCUGGUGAGGCCUGGCCAACAGAAAUGGAGAUGGGUUGAAGUCUGAUACAAUACAUUGUAUUUCUGCUCUAGAAGCCAUGGUGGAAACUUCAUAUAAAGUUGUUUUGGUCCAACAUAGUGGAGACACAAAGACCUGUAAGAAUAAAGACUUUAAAAACUGCUACCCCCCCCCCCCCCCCCCCCCCGCACAAAAAAAA